UUCCCUGUAGCUCAGUUGGUAGAGCAUGGUGUUUGCAACGCCAGGGUUGUGGGUUCGAUUCCCACAGGGGGAA
This 73-nucleotide transfer RNA is filed under the name Salmo salar (Atlantic salmon). It matches the Rfam family "tRNA". From Rfam's summary of the family: Transfer RNA (tRNA) molecules are approximately 80 nucleotides in length. Their secondary structure includes four short double-helical elements and three loops (D, anti-codon, and T loops). The record is from Rfam by way of RNAcentral. Lineage: Eukaryota; Metazoa; Chordata; Actinopteri; Salmoniformes; Salmonidae.